CCUACGGGGGGCAGCAGUGGGGAAUAUUGCACAAUGGGGGAAACCCUGAUGCAGCGACGCCGCGUGAGAGAAGAAGUAUUUCGGAAUGUAAAGCUCUAUCAGCAGGGACGAAAAUGACGGUACCUGAUUAAGAAGCCCCGGCUAACUACGUGCCAGCAGCCGCGGUAAUACGUAGGGGGCAAGCGUUGUCCGGAUUUACUGGGUGUAAAGGGAGCGUAGGCGGCAGCGCAAGUCUGAAGUGAAAAGCCUGGGCUUAACCCCGAAACUGCUUUGGAAACUGUGCAGCUAGAGUGCAGGAGAGGUAAGUGGAAUUCCUAGUGUAGCGGUGAAAUGCGUAGAUAUUAGGAGGAACACCAGUGGCGAAGGCGGCUUACUGGACUUUAACUGACGUUGAGGCUCGAAAGCGUGGGGAGCAAACAGGAUUAGAUACCCUUGUAGUC
This 440-nucleotide ribosomal RNA is filed under the name uncultured bacterium. RNAcentral describes it as "partial 16S ribosomal RNA". It matches the Rfam family "Bacterial small subunit ribosomal RNA", at positions 338 to 795 of the family's 1533-position model. The record is from RNAcentral.